RNAcentral lists this long non-coding RNA (2997 nucleotides) under Homo sapiens (human). RNAcentral describes it as "HSALNT0144073". The record is from RNAcentral. Lineage: Eukaryota; Metazoa; Chordata; Mammalia; Primates; Hominidae.
AAAUACAGUAUGUUGUGGUUAUAACUAAGCCUUAAUUUAUGGAAGGAAGAAAUGUGGAGACUCAUACCCUUUAAUUUGAUAGGUGAGGUAACAGAGAAGAUAAAAGAGUUUCCCACAAUCAUGACACCAGCUAGAGGCAAAGUUAACACUGGAACCCAGGUCUACUCAUUGCAGGACGGGUAAAUUGAUGUGAGUGGGGUGAACACAGUCGAGGAGUGAGAUCUGGCUUUGAAUCCUGACUUUUCCCCUUGACAGCUCUGUGACCUUGGCCAUGUCACUUAACUUCCCUCCGCUUCAAUGUCUUCAUCUACAAACCAGGAAUAAUAGUAUAUAUCACAAAAUGUAUCUAAGAUACAAAUGAGACACUGUGAAGUCCUUGGCACAGGGCAAUGAAAUAUGAACAGAAGCAUCAUGUGUCACCUCCUGGAGAAGCUGUGUGAGCCUGUGUGCAGCGGUCCAUCUUCCCUUGCCACUGUGGCACUGUCUGAGGAAUCAGGCAUCAAAAAGGAGCCUCUGUCUUCUUCAGUCCCUGAGAACAACAAAGAGCAGAUUCCCCCUCAAACCUUGGUUAAACAGGUUACAUGAACUUAUAAAAGAAGUAGAACACACAUGCUUCCCAUUAGGUGAGAAAGAAACAUGCCUGAGAGUCUAAUGGAUUACUCAAGUCUGUGCUGCCAAGGAAGAACAGAAUCUUUAGGUCUUCUGUGCAAAGUUGUGUCCACCCCCAAAGUCUGAAGUGGCUCCAUUCACAAACUUACAUGGAAUUUGGACUUGGCCAUCUUUCCUUUCAAGAAUAUAUGGUCCAUCACAUACCCAACUUUGAUUGUAAAUGGAGAAGCACAGCAGCCAUGGCUUGAGGAAGAUAAAAUGACCAUGAGCUCAGACUCCUCAGGAAUGAGUGUCUGGUUGACUACAGCAGAAAUCAAGAAAGAACUCAAAGACUGAUGAGUUGCAUCCAGCACACACAGGAGCAGAGGGAAGGGGUUCCCACUGGCUAAUUUUUGGAAAUAUAAAAUCAUGCUUCCCGUUCAAGAGGUUCACUCUGGGUAUAGACGGCAUUUCUGAAAACAUGGCAUUGACUGACAUUAUUGACAGUGGACUGGGAAUGGAAAGAUCAGAGUUCUUUGCAUGGCUGAGCAUCUUACUUUUCCUUGAUCUUGGGAAGGAAGGCGCCUUCUCUGAUGGAGAUUAUCUGUCAGUGAAACUAGAUUUUUAAGUUGCAGCCCUGGGCUUAUGGUGAAUUGGCAAGCACGUGUGAGAAAGAUCAUGUUGUCUUAAGCAACUUUGAUUCCAAGAGAAGAAGAGUAAUAUGAGUACUCCAGUCCAGUCACCUGAUGAGAGAUUCCUGAAGGGAGAACUUGCAUCUUCAAAGCGUUGGAGGUAGAAGGAAGACAGGCAGAAGGACAUCCCAGAAUCAACCCAGAAUGUGGUGGAAGUGACUGCAUCAACCCUGAGCCGACACACCCAGAAGCCUUGCAGACUUCUACUUCCUGCCUUGGAAUCCUGACAAGCCACUACUUAAGCAAAUGUGAGCUACCCUUUUAGUGGUGGUUACAUGGGAUUAGAUGAGAUACAUGGGGCCCGGAUUCCUGAUUGCCCCACUUGACAGCUGAGAAACACCUGGGAGCAGGGCUGCCCAGCUAACAUCUGCUGACUGCAGAUGAAUGAACAAGCCCAGCCAGAUAGAGAAGAAACAGUCAGCUGGGCCAUAAACAAUGUUUUGUAAUAAUCGUUUAUUUAUAUGGUUUACAUUUUGUUUAACUCUCAUUUUUUAAUGGGAAUAGGACUUUUUUAUUGUGGUAAAAUGUACAUAAUGAAAAUUUACCAUUUUAACUAUUUUAGCUGUACAAUUCAGUGGCAUUCAAUGUUGUGCAAUGCUCACAACUACUUCCAACUUUUUUCAUUAUUCCAAACAGAAACUCUAUGCCAUUAAGCAAUAACUUUUGAUUCUUCCCAUCCCCAGCUCUUGGUAAUCUCGAUUCUACUUUCUGCCUAUAUGAAUUUGCCUAUUUUAGACACCCCACAUAAGUAGAAUCAUACAAUAUUUGUUCUUUUGUAUUUGACUUACUUUACUUGGCAUAUUUUCAAGGUUCAUCAUGUUGUAUUAUGUAUUAGACUUUUAUUUCUACUUAUGGCCGAAUAUCAUCCUGUGGUAGAUAGAUAGAUAUAAAAUAUGGUAAAUAUAUGUAUAUAUAUUAUUUAUCUCUUCAUUUGUUAAUGGACACUUGAGUUGUUUCUACCUUUUGACUACUGUGAAUAACACUGCUAUGAACACUGGUAUAGAACUACCUGAGUGAGUGUCUGCUCAAUUACUCUGGGUAUAUACCUAGACGUUGAAUUGCUGGGUCAAAUAGUUAUUCUAUGUUGAACAUUUUGAAGAUUGCCAAAAUUUUCCAGAGUGACUGCAUCAUUUUAUAUUCUCACCAGCAGUUCACAAAGAUAACAUUUUCUCCACAUCCUUGCCAACACUUGUAAUUUUCUAUUUGUUUGAUAAUAGUCAUGCUAGUGAGUGUGAAGUGGUGAUAUCUCACUGUGGCUUUGAUUUGCAUUUUCCCAAUGACUAAUGAUGUUGAACAUUUUCUUUUUCAUGUGGUUAUUGAUCAUUUGUAUAUCUUCUUUGGAAAAACUGUCUAUUCAAGUCUUUUGCUCACUUUUUGAGUCAUUUCUUUUGUUAUUGAGUCAUAGGAGUUCCUUACAUAUUCUGGAUAUGAAUUUCUUUUCAGAUAUAUGUUUUAAAAAUAUUUUCUGUCAUUUUGUUGGUUUUCUUGAUAGUGUUCUAUCAUUACCAAGUGUCAAUGCUAAUUAAAAAAAAAUUUGAUGAAGUCUAAUUUAUUCAUUUUUAAAUUACUUGUAGUUUUAUUACCAUACUUAGAGACCAUUACCAAAUCUAAGGUCAUGACAAUUUUUUCUUAUGCUUUCUUUUAAAAAUAUUUUAGUUUUUAUCUGACAAAGGGCUAAUAUCUGACAAAGAGCUAAUAUCUGACGAAGGGCUAAUAU